GACGAACGCUGGCGGCGUGCUUAACACAUGCAAGUCAAGGGGGCCCGACGCAAUGGGCGAACCGGCGAACGGGUGCGUAACACGUGAGCAACCUACCGAAAUGUGGGGGAGUAGCCGGCCUAACGGCCGAGUAAUACCGCAUACGCUUUCCGAGAGGCAUUUCUUGGAAAGGAAACCUACGGGACAUUUCGAGGGGCUCGCGGCCUAUCAGCUAGUUGGCGAGGUAACGGCUCACCAAGGCAACGACGGGUAGCGGUCUGAGAGGAUGGCCAGCCACAUUGGGACUGAGAUACGGCCCAGACU
RNAcentral lists this ribosomal RNA (303 nucleotides) under uncultured bacterium. RNAcentral describes it as "bacterial SSU rRNA". It matches the Rfam family "Bacterial small subunit ribosomal RNA", at positions 28 to 337 of the family's 1533-position model. The record is from RNAcentral.